RNAcentral lists this ribosomal RNA (428 nucleotides) under uncultured eukaryote. RNAcentral's name for it is "bacterial SSU rRNA". It matches the Rfam family "Eukaryotic small subunit ribosomal RNA", at positions 592 to 1018 of the family's 1831-position model. The record is from RNAcentral.
CAAUAGCGUAUAUUAAAGUUGUUGCAGUUAAAAAGCUCGUAGUUGGAUUUCUGGUUUGAUGCCCUGGCCCGCUGCCAUUUUGGUAGUGUGUGCCGGUUGUGCGUCUGCCAUCCUUCUAGGGAACGUUCCUUCUCUUCAUUGAGCCGGGUACGUGAUGUAAAUCUUUUACUUUGAAAAAUUAGAGUGUUUAAAGCAGGCAUUUGCUAUGAAUACAUUAGCAUGGAAUAAUAAGAUAGGACUUCGGAACUAUUUUGUUGGUUUGCGUUACGAAGUAAUGAUUAAUAGGGACAGUUGGGGGUAUUCGUAUUUCGUUGUCAGAGGUGAAAUUCUUGGAUUUCCGAAAGACGAACUACUGCGAAAGCAUUUACCAAGGAUGUUUUCAUUAAUCAAGAACGAAAGUUAGGGGAUCGAAGACGAUUAGAUACCGU